Long non-coding RNA from Vulpes vulpes (red fox), 1740 nucleotides. The record is from Ensembl. Lineage: Eukaryota; Metazoa; Chordata; Mammalia; Carnivora; Canidae.
CUUUAUUAUACAUCAACUUCAAAGAGACUGUACUUGGCCCCUUGGACAGGACUCAGAGCAGAAUUUCCCAAUCAGAAAUCAGGGGCAGAAAAAGGAGACCAGGACCCAUGGGUGAAUUUUCCUGGAUUAGUGGUUUUCCUUUAAUAAUCUAUUUAGUGUCUUGGGGGAAGGAGGUUGCAUGUGCUGUAUGCCAGGUACAGCGCUGGGGCCAGGUGGACACAAAAGUGAAUGAAACACAGUCCCCCUGGCUCUCCCCACCUGACACGGAGGAACUGGGCUUGGACACCCUGCAUCUGGGAGAAGGGGUGCAGUGUGGUGUCUAUGGCACCAGCUCUGCAGUCAGAAGGCCAGGGUUUUUGUGCUCUGGCUCUGCUGCUUGUGGGCUCUGUGGCAUCGGGCAAGCUACUUGUCUUCUCUGUGCCUCACAUUGUGUAUCAGCAGAGUUAAAUACAAAACCUGCCUUAUGGGGUUCCUGUGGUGAUUUGAUGAGUUUAAAAAGUGAAGGUACUUCAGCACAGUGCUUGGCACUUGUGCUUACUGCUCUCAUCCAGGCAUGGAGGAAGCGCACGAGAGGGCAGAGGAGUGCGCAGCUGAGGGCCUGCGGGCAGCCGGGGAGCUUCAAAGAGCCCCGGAUAUUUGAUUUGCACCUGAGAGGCAAGAAUGGACACUUGCCUCCUGUUCCUCCGGGUCCCGAGAAACGGGUGUGUUUCUGCGUUCACCUUCCCAGCACUUCUGAGAUCCCACUGCAAGGAGCAGCUGGGCUUCCUUUGCAUCUCUGCCGCAUCUGUCUUCUCCCCAGUCUGUCUGCAGGUCAGUGCGGUCAAUCCAGGCUGCCACUGUCUCCACGGUUAGCAAGGUAUCCGCUCAGUGGGACGUGUUUCGAAUUCUUGCCUACUGGUUCUCAAAGUGUGCUGGAUGUUGGAAUCCCCAGGAGAGGUUUCAAGAUCAAAUGUCCUGGGUGCAACUCGUACUAAUUCCAUCAGAAUCUCAGGGUGGGCGAUUGGUUCUCAGACAUCGGUGUUUUUAAAGUCUCCAGGUGAUUCUGGGUGCGUCGUGGUGGAGAACUAUCAAUUUACUCCACCCGUGGGAGUAAAGCAUAGCAGAAACCUUCACUGACAAGCCAGCAGAAAAUACUCCUUUUCCUUGUAUCCUGCCCCCAUUAGUGAUUUUAUGAUUACUUUCUGUAUCCACUUGUCUUUCUGCAGUUUACUUUGCUUUUUUUCUUUUUCUUUUCACAGACUUCAAAUAUUACCCUGUGGCAUGCACUUGUGUUUUUAAUGCAUUCAGAACUGGAAAGUUCUUAUGCCCCAGCCAUUCUCCUUCAAGGUCUGACCAGUGGCCACCAGUUACCUGGGAGCUUUUUAAAAAUGGAGGUCCCUGGCCUCUGGCCCAUACGCACUAAAUCAGAACUGUUGGGGGGUGAUUCUAUGAAUCUAGAUCUUUAACAGGUUCCUCAGGGAUUCUUAUGCUCUGAAGUUUGGAUAUUUCUGCCCCGAACUCACCAGUCUAAUUAUGGGUACAGUCAUGUUUAAGGUCCCAGAUAUUGAGGAUGAAGACCUAAGAAAGAUUAAUAGGAAUGUGAUAUAUUUUAACCCCAGAAAGAUGGACGUUCUGAGGACAGGGAUGAACAGAGGGCUGAUUAUGAAGUAGCUAACUAUAUUCACUCUAAAGAUGUAAAUGAAAAUCCUUGUAUUCCUGAGGCCAUACUUAAUAAACAGAGACAGGAGAAAGAAAUUCCCA